UCUGCACUGCAGCCUGGGCAAGAGAAUGAGACGCUGUGUCUAUUUGAAAAAUUUUUUAAAGUAAGGAUGUUUUUUGGUGGGUGGUGGCAUGCAGCGAUGGCGGCAGGCAGCAGUGAUCCACAGGCUGGUGACGUAGAGGACACGUUACAGCUCAUCUUUCCUAAAGAGUUUGAAACAGCUGAGGCUUCUAAAUUCCAAAGUUCAUAUGCCUCUGGAACAUCAAAAGCAACAGAAUGAGAGUGCAGAGAAUGAACAGGAACUCUCAGAAAUCUUCAUAAGAACAUUAAACUGUACAGCCCAUUCCAGUCGUUUCAACUGAGAAACAGAGAGACCAUUUCCAGCGUUCGUAGCUUGCUACUCCAGAAAAAGCUUCGUAAGUUUGAGUUGACCUGUUUGGCCAACCUAUGCCCAGAGACUGCCAAGGAGUCCAAGGCUCUAAUCCCAAGCUUAGAGGGGCGGUUUGAAGAUGAGGAGCUGCAGCAGAUUCUUGAUGACAUCCUGACAAAGCACUGCUUUCAGUAUUAAUCUCCAAACAUCACUGCUCCUCGGAGAAACCACAUUCCCAGGCAUCACACCGCCUUCCCAGGGUCUGGGGCUGACUGCACAGAAAUUCUAUUGCAGAAGAGAGCCCAGCUUGGCGUUGGGUUAGGUUUCUGUUUCAAAUAACUCAUAGGCCCAGGUGACAUGUAAUCUUGAAGCAGCCUUGGGCAGUGGCUACCAGGGGCUUCCUGAACGUGCCUCUGGGAAGUGUGAGGUCAGGCGAGGGGUCAUAUAAGCCACGCUAUUGACUACCUCAUUCAUGGUUUUUGACCUCCACACCAUCUUUUACUCUUAAUAUCUCAUGUUUUAAUUUCAGUGUGUUUAUAUUUUUGAAACUAGACCAGAACAUAGUAGACUUUAUAGAGAAAGACCAAUUUUUUCUAGAUACCAAAGGAAGAAUUAAACCACUGUUAUUGUUUGAAA
Molecule: RNA transcript, 963 nt
Organism: Sapajus apella (tufted capuchin)
Lineage: Eukaryota; Metazoa; Chordata; Mammalia; Primates; Cebidae
Gene name: DNA-directed RNA polymerase II subunit RPB4 pseudogene
Exons: 1
Source: RefSeq, a predicted model, not a curated record